This 332-nucleotide ribosomal RNA is filed under the name uncultured fungus. RNAcentral's name for it is "eukaryotic LSU rRNA". The stretch from base 1 to 71 matches the Rfam family "5.8S ribosomal RNA", at positions 84 to 154 of the family's 154-position model. Lineage: Eukaryota; Fungi. The record is from RNAcentral.
GUGAGUCAUCGAAUCUUUGAACGCACCUUGCGCUCCUUGGUAUUCCGAGGAGCAUGCCUGUUUGAGUGUCAUAAACCUCUCAAACCCAAGUUUUGGAUUUAUCCUUGCUUGAGUUUGGAUUUGGGUGUUUGCCAGUGAUGAACUGACUCACCUUAAAAGUAUUAGCUAGAUCUGUCUUUGACUGGUUUGACUUGGCAUAAUAAGUAUUUCGCUAAGGACAUCUUCGGAUGGCCGCGUUGCAGGACUAAAGACCGCUUUCUAAUCCAUUGAUCUUACGAUUAAUAUUCUUGACAUCUGGCCUCAAAUCAGGUAGGACUACCCGCUGAACUUAA